GAGUGCAAUUGAGUGGCAUGAAUUACGUUCACAAUGUUGGGCAAGCAUCAUCAUAUCUAGUUCCAAAACUUUGUCAUUGCCCCAGAUAGAAACUCUGUUCUCCAUUCUCCAGCUCCUGGUAACCUCUAAUCUAUUUGCUGUCUCUAUAAAUUUUCUUGUUCUAGAGACAUCAUGCAAGUGGAAUUAUACAAUAUAGUUGAUACACUCUUAUCCAGAGGGAUACGUUCCAAGACCCACAGUGGAUGCCUGAAGCCAGGGAUAGUACCAAACUACGUGAGAUGAUAAAACACCUACGUGAUGACAUGAAAUGACGGGAAUGACCUAGGCACUGAGACAUAGCAUUGGGUUGCUAUUGACUUUCUGGCCAUAUGUCAGAAGGAGGACCAUCUGUUUCUGGACUGCGGUUGACCACAGGAAGAGGAGAUUUGGACACACAAAGAGACACAAGGGGCACUCCACAAAGGAAAGAGCGUAUGAGGACACAGCAAGAAGACAGCCAUGUGCAAGCCAAGGAGAGAGGCCUCAGGGAAAACCAAACCGGCUGACAACUUGGCCUUGGACUUUCAGCCUCUAGACCUGUGGAAAAUAAAUCUCUGCUGUCGAAGCCA
Molecule: long non-coding RNA, 608 nt
Organism: Herpailurus yagouaroundi (jaguarundi)
Lineage: Eukaryota; Metazoa; Chordata; Mammalia; Carnivora; Felidae
Exons: 3
Source: RefSeq, a predicted model, not a curated record